This 578-nucleotide ribosomal RNA is filed under the name Plaxiscelis limbata. RNAcentral's name for it is "partial small subunit ribosomal RNA". Lineage: Eukaryota; Metazoa; Arthropoda; Insecta; Hemiptera; Coreidae. The record is from RNAcentral.
CAGUUAAUUUAAAUUGAUUUGUUAAAAAUUGUGCCAGCAAACGCGGUUAUACAAUUAAAUCUAAUUAAUUAUUUUGGUUUUUAUUUAUUAUUUAUUUUAAAAUUAAUAUUUUAAUUAUAAGGUGGAAUUUUUAAUUUAUUUAAGUUUUUGGUUUAAGAUAAUAAUAAAUUUGGUUUUAUAAACUAGGAUUAGAUACCCUAUUAUUCCAAAUGUAAAAAUUUAAUCUUAGUAUUAAUAGUUAUGAUCUUUAAAUUAAAAGGAUUUGGCGGUAAUUUAGUCUUUUCAGAGGAACCUGUUCUUUAAUCGAUGAUCCACGUUGGAUUUAACUUUUAUUUUUGUUUGUAUAUCUCUGUCAUUGAAUGUUUUAUUAGAAUAUUUUCUUUUAUUAUUAAUUUAAUUAAUGUCAGGUCAAGGUGCAGUUAUAUAAAAGGUUGUAAUGGGUUACAUUUAAUGUUAAUUUAUUGGAUUCUUUUUAUUGGAAUUAAUUAAUGGAAAAAUAGGAUUUGAAAGUAAAAAUUAUUAUUUUAUAAUUUUGAUUUUAGCUCUAAAUUAUGUACACAUCGCCCGUCGUUCUCAUU